UCUUGGUCAUUUAGAGGAAGUAAAAGUCGUAACAAGGUUUCCGUAGGUGAACCUGCGGAAGGAUCAUUAACCGUUACAAACAGUGUGUGCUGCGGCCCCCGAGGUGAGGCAACGAGCCUUCGGGAGGUCUGGGGUCCGCCCCUUCACGCGCACGCGUCUGCCAUCCUUACUUUACGAGCACCUUCUGUUCUCCCUCGGCAUGCGUCCUGCGCUGCCGUUGGAACUACAAAACUCUUUUUUGCAUCUAGCAUUACCUGUUCCGACAAUAACAAUCGUUACAACUUUCAACAAUGGAUCUCUUGGCUCUGGCAUCGAUGAAGAACGCAGCGAAAUGCGAUAAGUAGUGUGAAUUGCAGAAUUCAGUGAAUCAUCGAAUCUUUGAACGCACAUUGCGCCCCUCGGUAUUCCGUGGGGCAUGCCUGUUCGAGCGUCAUCUACACCCUCAAGCUCUGCUUGGUGUUGGGCGUCUGUCCCGCCUCGGCGCGCGGACUCGCCCCAAAUGCAUUGGCAGCGGUCUUUGCCUCCUCUCGCGCAGCACAUUGCGCUUCUCGAGGUGUCGCGGACACGCGUCCAGUAAGCAACAUUUACCG
RNAcentral lists this ribosomal RNA (590 nucleotides) under Didymosphaeriaceae sp. R-2. Its description in RNAcentral is "eukaryotic LSU rRNA". The stretch from base 280 to 433 matches the Rfam family "5.8S ribosomal RNA". Lineage: Eukaryota; Fungi; Ascomycota; Dothideomycetes; Pleosporales; Didymosphaeriaceae. The record is from RNAcentral.